GACGAACGCUGGCGGCGUGCUUAACACAUGCAAGUCGAACGGUAAGGCCCUUCGGGGUACACGAGUGGCGAACGGGUGAGUAACACGUGGGUGAUCUGCCCUGCACUUCGGGAUAAGCCUGGGAAACUGGGUCUAAUACCGGAUAGGACUCCUGGCUUCAUGGUUGGGGGUGGAAAGCUUUUGCGGUGUGGGAUGGGCCCGCGGCCUAUCAGCUUGUUGGUGGGGUAAUGGCCUACAAAGGGGACGACGGGUAGCGGGCCUGGGAGGGUGACCGGUCACACUGGGACUGGGAUACGGCCCAGACUCCGACGGGAGGCAGCAGUGGGGAAGAUUGCACAAUGGGCGCAAGCCUGAUGCAGCGACGCCGCGUGAGGGAUGACGGCCUUCGGGUUGUAAACCUCUUUCAGCUAUGACGAAGCGCAAGUGACGGUAGUAGCAGAAGAAGGACCGGCCAACUACGUGCCAGCAGCCGCGGUAA
Molecule: ribosomal RNA, 478 nt
Filed under: uncultured bacterium
Lineage: Bacteria
Description: partial 16S ribosomal RNA
Rfam family: Bacterial small subunit ribosomal RNA
Source: RNAcentral